RNAcentral lists this unclassified non-coding RNA (251 nucleotides) under Hevea brasiliensis (rubber tree). Lineage: Eukaryota; Viridiplantae; Streptophyta; Magnoliopsida; Malpighiales; Euphorbiaceae. The record is from RNAcentral.
CUCGCAACAAGAUGAUAUGAAAGUUAACAAUUCACACAUUGAUCAUCAUAAUGGUUCAUUAAAAAAAACUCAAAGACACUACACAACUGUCUUCAGUCAUGGAGAGUGCCCAGUAUGUCAUCAUCUCUAAACAAGUGAUACUCUUUUUCUCCAAGUUUUACUUCAGUCCCACCAUAUUCAGGUAAGAGGACAUGGUCUCCUUCUUUGACAGAGGGAGGGAUAAGAUUCCCAUUCCUAUCAUGUGCACCAGG